AAAACGACUCUCGGCAACGGAUAUCUCGGCUCUCGCAUCGAUGAAAAACGUAGCGAAAUGCGAUACUUGGUGUGAAUUGCAAAAUCCCGUGAACCAUCGAGUCUUUGAACGCAAGUUGCGCCCCAAGCCUUCUGGCCGAGGGCACGUCUGCCUGGGUGUCACAA
This 164-nucleotide ribosomal RNA is filed under the name Cardamine x insueta. RNAcentral describes it as "5.8S ribosomal RNA". It matches the Rfam family "5.8S ribosomal RNA". From Rfam's summary of the family: 5.8S ribosomal RNA (5.8S rRNA) is a component of the large subunit of the eukaryotic ribosome. It is transcribed by RNA polymerase I as part of the 45S precursor that also contains 18S and 28S rRNA. Functionally, it is thought that 5.8S rRNA may be involved in ribosome translocation. Lineage: Eukaryota; Viridiplantae; Streptophyta; Magnoliopsida; Brassicales; Brassicaceae. The record is from RNAcentral.